GGGGGGGGGGGGGGGGGGGCAAGUGGUGGUGGUAUGUGGGGACCUGUCAGAAAGCAGAAAAUAUAUACACAGACACACACAUGUGUGUGUGUGAGAGAGCAGAAACUGAAGGGCCACUCGUGGGGUCUCUUCUUUCUUGUAAGGAAUGAGUACAGUGCAGUUUAGCUGUCUUCAAACAAAUUGGUUAAUUUUUGGGGGAAGUUCCAGGACUUCAAAUCCUGCAGUGAAUCCACACCACUCAUGGCAUGGCGUGCAGUGUGGAUUCAACCUGGAUCUGCGCUCCCGGGAGUCUCUAAGAAUGAGCUCAAACAGUUUUGCUCUCACAGCCACACACGUUGCUCUUUGUUUUCUGGGAAAAUAAUUCCCACUUUCAUAUAUCCUCUUGAUUUGAUAUUUGACAUCUUUGUUUGUCUUUUUAAAAUAUCAAUGGCAGAAGAAGAAAAUUGCUCCAAACGACGAUUGAUUACAUGGACCAAAUGAAAGCCAGAAAAAUCAACAAAAGCAGUAGAUGAUUUUGAAAGGGCCCAUCGCUGGUUCGUUUCAGAUUCAAGAAAUGUUGGAUACAGAAAGGAAUUUCCCAUUGACUCCAUAUUUGUGGAUAAACUGCCGAGUCCGAAUUAGCAUCAAAGCAUUCAUUUUGAAGCAUUUCUCUCUGAAAAUGGAAAACCAAACAAUAAUAAUAAUGAUAAUUACUAAAAUAUCAAACCACUGAAAAAAAAAAAUGGAAGAACAGAGUUAUUCUUCUAUUAUUACAUUACAUAUUAAUGAUCUUUUUGAUUAAGAAUGUAAUAACAGAUUAAGAGGGGCGUGAAAGCAGCAGCACAGAGGUACAACUGAAGAACACAUGUGAAGGCUGAAAGAGGACAAAUGAUAAAAACAAGUACUGUUCAGCAAAUGAGUCCAUAUUUUUGGACAGCUCUACUCAGCUCAGAAGAAGCGCGCAGAAGAUUCAUAGUAAACACUAAUUUACACAAAACCGGAGCUCACUCAUCAAAACAUCUCCGAAAACAACAGAAAUCA
This is a long non-coding RNA of Andrographis paniculata, 1020 nucleotides long. RefSeq lists it as uncharacterized. Lineage: Eukaryota; Viridiplantae; Streptophyta; Magnoliopsida; Lamiales; Acanthaceae. The record is from RefSeq and is a predicted model, not a curated record. The transcript is spliced from 2 exons.